GACGAACGCUGGCGGCGUGCUUAACACAUGCAAGUCGAACGGAAAGGCCCUGCUUUUUUGGGGUUCUCGAGUGGCGAACGGGUGAGUAACACGUGAGUAACCUGCCCUUGACUUUGGUAUAACUUCAGGAAACUGGGGCUAAUCCCGGAUAGGAGCUCCUGCUGCAUGGUGGGGGUUGGAACUUUUCGGCGGUAGGGGAUGGACGGGCGGCUUAUCAGCUUGUUGGUGGGGUUGUUGCUUACCAAGGCUUUGACGGGUCGCCGGCACGGGAGGGUGACCGGGGACAAGGCGCCUGAGGGAGGGAGCAGAGGGGAAUGGGGGGCAGUGGGGGGGAGCAUGGUACAACGAGAGCGAGUCGGUGGAGGAGACGCUGGGGUUGGGAAGACGGUUUGUGGGGAAAGAAAAGCAGCAGGUUGAGACCAAGCUGGAGUGACGGUAACGAGUGAAUAAGCACCGGCUAACUACGUG
This 468-nucleotide ribosomal RNA is filed under the name uncultured bacterium. RNAcentral's name for it is "partial 16S ribosomal RNA". It matches the Rfam family "Bacterial small subunit ribosomal RNA", at positions 28 to 507 of the family's 1533-position model. The record is from RNAcentral.